AAGAGAGACAUAAUGGUUAUGAUAUCGGCUUGAAACCGGUUUUAGGAGGUUCGAAACCUUCCUCUCUUG
RNAcentral lists this transfer RNA (69 nucleotides) under Plecotus auritus (brown big-eared bat). Its description in RNAcentral is "tRNA-Ser". It matches the Rfam family "tRNA". From Rfam's summary of the family: Transfer RNA (tRNA) molecules are approximately 80 nucleotides in length. Their secondary structure includes four short double-helical elements and three loops (D, anti-codon, and T loops). Further hydrogen bonds mediate the characteristic L-shaped molecular structure. tRNAs have two regions of fundamental functional importance: the anti-codon, which is responsible for specific mRNA codon recognition, and the 3' end, to which the tRNAs corresponding amino acid is attached (by aminoacyl-tRNA synthetases). tRNAs cope with the degeneracy of the genetic code in two manners: having more than one tRNA (with a specific anti-codon) for a particular amino acid; and 'wobble' base-pairing, i.e. permitting non-standard base-pairing at the 3rd anti-codon position. Lineage: Eukaryota; Metazoa; Chordata; Mammalia; Chiroptera; Vespertilionidae. The record is from RNAcentral.